This 253-nucleotide ribosomal RNA is filed under the name uncultured bacterium. RNAcentral's name for it is "partial 16S ribosomal RNA". It matches the Rfam family "Bacterial small subunit ribosomal RNA", at positions 524 to 776 of the family's 1533-position model. The record is from RNAcentral.
UACAGAGGGUGCGAGCGUUGUUCGGAAUUAUUGGGCGUAAAGGGCGCGUAGGCGGUGCGGUAAGUCACCUGUGAAAUCUCCUGGCUCAACUGGGAGCUUGCAGGCGAAACUGCCGUGCUGGAGUGUGGGAGAGGUGCGUGGAAUUCCCGGUGUAGCGGUGAAAUGCGUAGAUAUCGAGAGGAACACCGGUGGCGAAGGCGGCCUUCUGGACAGUGACUGACGCUGAGACGCGAAAGCGUGGGGAGCAAACAGG